RNAcentral lists this long non-coding RNA (381 nucleotides) under Rattus norvegicus (Norway rat). RNAcentral's name for it is "long non-coding RNA NONRATT010581". Lineage: Eukaryota; Metazoa; Chordata; Mammalia; Rodentia; Muridae. The record is from RNAcentral.
CCUUUUACCCCUUGUUUUCAUGGUCACCAUACUUUAACACUGGAUGGGGAAGGUACUCUCCUGGCCAGGAGCAGAGGGCUCAUGACCAGGAGCAGAGGGCCCAUGACCAGGAGCAGAGGGCCCAUGACCAGGAGCAGAGGGCCCAUGACCAUGACCAGGAGCAGAGGGCCCAUGACCAGGAGCAGAGGGCCCAUGACCAGGAGCAGAGGGCCCAUGACCAGGAGCAGAGGGCCCAUGACCAGGAGCAGAGGGCCCAUGACCAGGAGCAGAGCAGAGGGCCCAUGACCAGGAGCAGAGGGCUCAUGACCAUGACCAGGAGCAGAGCAGAGGGCUCAUGACCAGGAGCAGAGGGCCCAUGACCAGGAGCAGGAGCAGAGCAGA